RNAcentral lists this unclassified non-coding RNA (2003 nucleotides) under Hevea brasiliensis (rubber tree). Lineage: Eukaryota; Viridiplantae; Streptophyta; Magnoliopsida; Malpighiales; Euphorbiaceae. The record is from RNAcentral.
AAAAAAAAAAAAAAUUUAGAGUCAACAUAUAAAAAGCAUUUUUGUAAUCAAGAUUUGAGGGUGUUUAGUUUGGCUUACAAGUCAGUCAAACCUACUAAUAAGUAGAAGGUCAUAAGUAAACUAGUGUUUGAUUAGACUUAUAAGUUAAAAAAACUACUUAAAAUAAGUCAUAAAUCAUAAUUUAACUGUCACGUGCUAACCAAUCUUAACACGUGUACAGAGAUAGUAUUGGAGAUAAAAAGCCAAAAGCUUAAUGAGAAGUUUCUCCCACCGCUAGCUUAGGGGUAGAUUUGUGGGCUUGGGCCCUUAUAGUUGCGGGCCUCUAGUUAUUGUCCUUUUAUUCUUUGUGAUUUGGGCUUGAUAUUCUAAUAGCAGGAACUCAUGAAUUUUCACUAGAAAGGAUGAUUUUAUUAAAUUUUAGAUUCCAACACUAUCAAUUUCCUUGAUAGCGAGAAAUGAACAUAAAUAAUAAGAGAGAUACCCAACAUUAGAACUAAGUCUUGUAAUGCUUUUUAUUUGCUAUGAAGACUAUAUAGAUCAUAAACACCCUCUUACUUUAGCCCAUUUUAAUGAUGAAUCAUGAAGUUGUACACUUUGUUGAUGUGAAUUUAGACUUGUUGAUUGCUCUUAUGAAUCAGAAUCAAGUUUGACACAAGUUGGGUUGCAAGGGUAAGGGCAAUCGAUCUUCCGGAAGUUGGCUCGAUCGUAAAACCAGUCUCCAACUGCCUUACCGAUUUUUGUAUUGGCCACUACUGGAGACUUAUCUGCUAACCAGACAGUAGCUGAUCCAGAUUGGCAGUGUGCAUAGCAAGAAUCUAUGAAAUAUCCAUUUGAAGGAUUGCUGCCAGCUCCAGUGUUCAAUGCACUUAAGAAUUGCAACCUGUAAUCUUGCACAGUUUUGAGUUGAUCAGCUGAGCACUUAGUUAGGUCAAGUUUGCAGCUCUUCCAGGCUCCUUUUGGAUCAGCAGCGCUAGGUGCCAUAAUAUUCUUUAACUGCCAGAAAUCAUAGCCUGAAUUUAUCACAAAUAGUGGAGUUUGCAUAGUCUGAGUUACGUAUUGUGGGAAGAAACACAAUUCUGGUUUAUUUUUUGAAGUGCAAGAGGGAGGAAGACUCUUUACUGACCCAUGUAAACCAACUAUUCCACCAAAGAAGUUUUCGAUUUCGAACCCACCAGCAACAUCCUUUCCAUGAAUAAAAUAACCAGCAUCUGAAACACAUUUUACUCUAGCAGUUGCAGGUAGGAGAGAUUUGAAUUUAUCACAAUGCAGAAUAGCAGCCAAUCCACCAGCCGAGCAGCCUGAAAGAAUAGCAUUCUGAGCAUUUUUCAUGCCUUUGGCCAAUAAAUCAUCGAUAACAGCCUGCCAAACUCUUUCUCCUCUGAAGUACAGUUGAGUUUUGGGAUCAACUGCUUCCACAUCACCAGUAAACGAUGACCCAUCACAGUACUUAAUCUUGAUUCUAUUCCAGUUGUAAAAAUCAGGAUUAGCUGCUUGCUUGCUCCCUAGUAUGCCAGAGAAACCCAUUGUCUUCUCCAUUUUCAAUGAUGAACCCUUGUAUGUGUUCUUUCUUUCCAGGCAGCUUGUGAUAUCAUCACACCAUCCUCCUCCCUCCAUGUGAACCAACCAGUUAUUAAUUCCAGAACCAGAUCCCCUUUGCAAGUGAUAAGCUGGUGGACUUCCAUCCAAACAUACAGCUCCUUUAGCUUUUGCAGUUUCAACAAUAGUAAUAGGAAUGCCACCUCCUUCUGCUCUGAUCAGCAAUAAUAAACAGACUAGAAAUAAAAGAUAACACCACUGAUGACUAAAUCUUGAAUCACCCAUUUCUUCAGACAAAAGGACAAGAGAGACGCUUGUUUUCGUCUUUAGAUAACGUGGGCAAACAUCCCAUUGCAUUUAUAGGAAAGAAGAAGAAGAAAGAAGAGCACAUGAACAUGCACGACCACCCCAUUUACCAGUGACUUUCAUAUGUUGGGUCAAAAACAUCAUGAGGCAGCACCGAGCAG